This 323-nucleotide ribosomal RNA is filed under the name Cyclophora tenuis. RNAcentral's name for it is "partial Bacterial large subunit ribosomal RNA". It matches the Rfam family "Bacterial large subunit ribosomal RNA", at positions 1396 to 1714 of the family's 2925-position model. Lineage: Eukaryota; Bacillariophyta; Fragilariophyceae; Cyclophorales; Cyclophoraceae. The record is from RNAcentral.
GCGAGGCUGAAAAGCGUAGUCGAUGGAAAACAGGUUAAUAUUCCUGUACUUUUUGUAACUGCGAUGUAGUGACGGAGAAAGCUAGGUCAUCCUGGCGGACGGUUGUCCAGGUGAAAGCGAGUAGGUAGUGUGUGUAGGCAAAUCCGCAUGCAUGAUGAUCUGAGACGUGAUGACGAAGCUUCUUAUUAAGAAGCUGAAGUGAUUGAUGCUAUGCUUCCAGGAAAACCUACUAAGCUUCAGGUUACAAGGAGCCGUACCCGAAACCGACACUGGUGGACAGGUAGAGAAUACUAAGGCGAUGAGAGAACUCAGGUGAAGGAACU